This 720-nucleotide unclassified non-coding RNA is filed under the name Hevea brasiliensis (rubber tree). Lineage: Eukaryota; Viridiplantae; Streptophyta; Magnoliopsida; Malpighiales; Euphorbiaceae. The record is from RNAcentral.
UUCUUGAGAAACAGAGAGAAAAAGAAAAUGAUAGAAAAUAUGUAUACACAUGGGAUAAUCCAUUGCUCUCUAAUUUCUGCAACUUUUUUGGCUGCGCAUUUUAGCUCCCCAGCUCAUGCUCUCCAUAUCAUUAUAAUUACUCAUCCUUAUUAGCUCUGUAAGCUGAGACUGCCAUCUCUCUUUCCUCUCAACUCUAUCAUCAUUCAAUCCCUCGUUGGAGCGGGAUCGCUUUCUGGUGGAGAAAAUCGUCUGCAAGUCUAGGCCUCCAGCCAUAUCCAUGUCAUACAAGGCUCUACUUUUGGGAUCACACAAGGUCUCAUAAGCCUCCUGCACUUGAAUAAAUCUCUUAGUGUACUCCUCUGUAUAGCCCGGAGGUGACACAUCAGGGUGGUACUUCCUGGCAAGUUGCUUAUAAGCUUUCUUGAUCUCUGAGAGCGUUCCACUCUCCGAGAUACCCAGCAAAUCAUAAAAACUCUGGGCAUUGAUAUAAAGGUCAUCAACAGUGGUGGCGGUGGCGGAGGCCUUAAUCGGGGUGGUUCUAACCGAUUUGGAAUGAGUUGUUAAGGAAAAGCUUGGUUUUGGGAAAUGGGUAUUGAAGCUAAAGUGAGAAUAUGGCUCAAGAAAGGAUGUUUGGGUUGAGAGUUUGGAUUUUGAGAUGGUGUGGAAGCUCGCAUGGCUUCCAGUAGAGAUCAUUCCACUAAUCAUAUUUCUCUGUUUUUU